CUCUAGGUUUCUGAUCUGGAGCUCCACUGACUAACUGGGAGUGCCCAAGCAACCAGAAGUCCCUCGGAUACCGCAGAGAACUCCUCUGAAGUGCAAAACCGUGCUUUAACUUUAACUAGCAGCCAAAAAAAAAAAAAAAAAAAAAAACCUUUUAGAAGGUCGUUGCACGUUUAGAUGCUGAGCUCCUGCAAGCAGAGUUUUUAGGCUCCCUUUGGCAUCUUUGCUUUGGUUGCAGCUUAUUUUUCUUUAAGAUGUAACUCCCUCGCCCUCAUCCCGAAAUCAGCAGCAAAUGUUGCAAUCUGCCUGGAUUUCCCUUCAAAGGGAGUACAGGAAAUAUCUUCAAUUUAAAACACUCCCUCAAAGUUACGCUCAUAAAUCACAAGUUUAAGGGCAAGCCAGUAGCAAAAUGAAAAUAGUCCGGUGAAAUGCAGGGCAGCCCUGCUUAUCCUGGGGAUGGGGGAGAGGGACGGGACUGGAUGGGACAGGAGGGGGAUUCACUUUGGGUGCCCUCAGAGAAGGAAUGAAGGGAGACACAGAGACACGCACAGUAUGGUGGAGGGAUCACCACGAAGGGAGGGGGAAGGAUGGAGAUGCGCUGCAGUGUACGAGGCCACGGGGAAGUGAUUCGGUAUCAGAAUUAACGGUUUGGAGACGUAAACAUCUUGAAAGCCACGCCGAGAUUUAUCGCCACAACUUUGGCACGAAGGAUUCGGGAAGGGGGAAAGAAAAGGAGAAAGACAAAACAAUCUCAUUUAACAAAAUUUUCGUUUAGGGGAACAUUCCAACGCUUUAAUAAUCCCGUUUCCGUUCUGUAUGUUGAUGUUAUUAAUCUCGAAUAAAAAUGUUCCCCUCACA
This is a long non-coding RNA of Neopsephotus bourkii (Bourke's parrot), 855 nucleotides long. RefSeq lists it as uncharacterized. Lineage: Eukaryota; Metazoa; Chordata; Aves; Psittaciformes; Psittacidae. The transcript has 2 exons. The record is from RefSeq and is a predicted model, not a curated record.